Molecule: ribosomal RNA, 466 nt
Filed under: uncultured beta proteobacterium
Lineage: Bacteria; Pseudomonadati; Pseudomonadota; Betaproteobacteria
Description: bacterial SSU rRNA
Rfam family: Bacterial small subunit ribosomal RNA
Source: RNAcentral
CCUACGGCGUGCAGCAGUGGGGAAUUUUGGACAAUGGGCGCAAGCCUGAUCCAGCAAUGCCGCGUGCAGGACGAAGGCCUUCGGGUUGUAAACUGCUUUUGUACGGAGCGAAACGGUCUGGGUUAAUACCCUGGGCUAAUGACGGUACCGUAAGAAUAAGCACCGGCUAACUACGUGCCAGCAGCCGCGGUAAUACGUAGGGUGCGAGCGUUAAUCGGAAUUACUGGGCGUAAAGCGUGCGCAGGCGGUUUUGUAAGACAGGCGUGAAAUCCCCGGGCUCAACCUGGGAAUGGCGCUUGUGACUGCAAAGCUGGAGUGCGGCAGAGGGGGAUGGAAUUCCGCGUGUAGCAGUGAAAUGCGUAGAUAUGCGGAGGAACACCGAUGGCGAAGGCAAUCCCCUGGGCCUGCACUGACGCUCAUGCACGAAAGCGUGGGGAGCAAACAGGAUUAGAUACCCGGGUAGUCC